CAUCCUUCAAACGGUUUUGAUCUCAGGAUUCUUUAGUGAGCGGCCUGGUUGUUUGCUGAGGAUCUGAGCUCUGGGAAUGUUUGUGGACUAUUGUGUUUCAGUGAAGCCUGGUUCAGGGAAAGAAGGUGAAAUUAAAGCAAGAAAGAUGUCAAGCAUAAGGAAAUGGGAAAAUGCAUAACACUAAGAGUUUUAAGCUCUAGGUUGUUCCUUCCUGCUUCUUCCUGGCUACACAUCUUUGGUCUCCCUUGAUCUGAGUCUCAAUAUCUUCAUCUGCAAAAUGGGUAUAAUGCCUGCCUAGGGUAGACUGCCAGCCAUAUGCAGACGUCACCGAGACCAAGCACCCAGCACUGCAUAAGGGACGACAUGGGUGAUACAGCCUCUGCCAAGGGGAGCCCAGCAGACUGGAAGGAGGAGGCAGCAGAACAGAAGGGAAGGAGAAGGACGGACGGAGUGCCCAGAAGUGAGUGCAGAUGGUAAGGAAGG
Molecule: long non-coding RNA, 483 nt
Filed under: Fukomys damarensis (Damara mole-rat)
Lineage: Eukaryota; Metazoa; Chordata; Mammalia; Rodentia; Bathyergidae
Description: lncRNA (ENSFDAG00000027111.1)
Source: RNAcentral